This 211-nucleotide unclassified non-coding RNA is filed under the name plant metagenome. Its description in RNAcentral is "partial contains small subunit ribosomal RNA, internal transcribed spacer 1, and 5.8S ribosomal RNA". The record is from RNAcentral.
UUUCCGUAGGUGAACCUGCGGAAGGAUCUUUCAUAAUAAAGUGUUUUAUGGCACUUUUUAAAAAUCCAUAUCCACCUUGUGUGCAAUGUUAGAUCUCGUCAAUCUUGGCGAGAUUUUUAUACAUCAACUCAUUCUUUAACUAAUUUGUCUGAAAAAUAUUAUGAAUACUUAAUUCAAAAUACAACUUUCAACAACGGAUCUCUUGGCUCUC